AAGUAAAAAGUGAAAAUUCGCAUUCAGUUUCGACCUGAAAUCUGGUAUAAAUAUACCUUUACUUA
This 65-nucleotide transfer RNA is filed under the name Coeliccia cyanomelas. RNAcentral's name for it is "tRNA-Arg". Lineage: Eukaryota; Metazoa; Arthropoda; Insecta; Odonata; Platycnemididae. The record is from RNAcentral.